GCAUUACUAGCUUAAUGGUAAAGCCCUACAAUGUCACUGUAGAAGAUGUCAGUUCAAGUCUGAUGUAUUGCG
This 72-nucleotide transfer RNA is filed under the name Candida tropicalis. RNAcentral's name for it is "tRNA-Asp (GTC) (tRNA-Asp-GTC-5-1)". It matches the Rfam family "tRNA". From Rfam's summary of the family: Transfer RNA (tRNA) molecules are approximately 80 nucleotides in length. Their secondary structure includes four short double-helical elements and three loops (D, anti-codon, and T loops). The record is from RNAcentral. RNAcentral also lists the same sequence under 1 other name. Lineage: Eukaryota; Fungi; Ascomycota; Pichiomycetes; Serinales; Debaryomycetaceae.